CCUACGGGAGGCAGCAGUGAGGAAUUAUUGGACAAUGGGAGCAAUCCUGAUCCAGCCAUGCCGCGUGCAGGAAGACUGCCCUAUGGGUUGUAAACUGCUUUUAUACAGGAAGAAAAAGGUGUACGUGUACACUGUUGACGGUACUGUAAGAAUAAGGAUCGGCUAACUCCGUGCCAGCAGCCGCGGUAAUACGGAGGAUCCAAGCGUUAUCCGGAAUCAUUGGGUUUAAAGGGUCCGUAGGCGGGAUGAUAAGUCAGUGGUGAAAGUCUGCAGCUCAACUGUAGAAUUGCCAUUGAUACUGUUGUUCUUGAGUUAUUGUGAAGUGGUUAGAAUGAGUAGUGUAGCGGUGAAAUGCAUAGAUAUUACUCAGAAUACCGAUUGCGAAGGCAGAUCACUAACAAUGAACUGACGCUGAUGGACGAAAGCGUAGGUAGCGAACAGGAUUAGAUACCCUGGUAGUCUACGCCGUAAACGAUGGUUACUAGCUGUUCGGGUUAAUUGAGACCUGAGUGGCUAAGCGAAAGUGAUAAGUA
Molecule: ribosomal RNA, 533 nt
Filed under: uncultured Psychroflexus sp.
Lineage: Bacteria; Pseudomonadati; Bacteroidota; Flavobacteriia; Flavobacteriales; Flavobacteriaceae
Description: bacterial SSU rRNA
Rfam family: Bacterial small subunit ribosomal RNA
Source: RNAcentral